ACGGGAAAUCUCACCAGGCCCGGACACCAGAAGGAUUGACAGAUUGAUAGCUCUUUCUUGAUUUGGUGGGUGGUGGUGCAUGGCCGUUCUUAGUUGGUGGAGUGAUUUGUCUGGUUAAUUCCGAUAACGAACGAGACUCUGUCCUGCUAAAUAGAUGCAGCCUUUUUUUGGGUUGUAUUUUCUUCUUAGAGGGACUGGCGAUUAUUAGUCGCACGAGAUUGAGCAAUAA
This 229-nucleotide ribosomal RNA is filed under the name uncultured marine eukaryote. RNAcentral describes it as "partial 18S ribosomal RNA". It matches the Rfam family "Eukaryotic small subunit ribosomal RNA", at positions 1205 to 1456 of the family's 1831-position model. The record is from RNAcentral.